AGAGUUUGAUCCUGGCUCAGAACGAACGCUGGCGGCGUGGAUAAGACAUGCAAGUCGAACGGGAAAACUGAUUAGUUUACUAAGAUGUUUUCUAGUGGCGGACGGUGAGUAACAUGCCUUGAAGUGGGGGAUAGCCUUUCGAAAGGAAGAUUAAUACCGCAUGUGGUCACCCUUAAAAGGGCGGACCAAAGAUGCCUUCGGGUGUCGCUUUGAGAUUGGCUCGCGGCCUAUCAGCUAGUUGGUGAGGUAAAGGCUCACCAAGGCAACGACGGGUAGCUGUUCUGAGAGGAAGAUCAGCAACACUGGAACUGAGACACGGUCCAGACACCUACGGGUGGCAGCAGUCGAGAAUCAUUCACAAUGGGGGAAACCCUGAUGGUGCAACGCCGCGUGGAGGAUGAAGGCCCUAGGGUCGUAAACUCCUGUCAUAUAAGAGUAACGUUGUACAGUUAAUAACUGUGCAAUUUGAUAGUAUCUGAAGAGGAAGGGACGGCUAACUUCGCCAGCAGCCGCGGUAAUACGAAGGUCCCAAGCGUUGUUCGGAAUUACUGGGCGUAAAGCGUGUGUAGGCGGCGGGGUAAGUCAGAUGUGAAAGCCCGGGGCUCAACCUCGGAACUGCAUCCGAUACUGCCUUGCUAGAGUAGUGGAGGGGAGACUGGAAUUCACGGUGUAGCAGUGAAAUGCGUAGAUAUCGUGAGGAACACUAGUGGCGAAGGCGAGUCUCUGGACACUUACUGACGCUCAGACACGAAGGCUAGGGUAGCGAAAGGGAUUAGAUACCCCUGUAGUCCUAGCAGUAAACGGUGCGCGCUUGGUGUGGGAGGAUUCGACCCCUUCCGUGCCGGAGCUAACGCGUUAAGCGCGCCGCCUGGGGAGUACGGCCGCAAGGCUAAAACUCAAAGAAAUUGACGGGGACCCGCACAAGCGGUGGAGUAUGUGGCUUAAUUCGAUGCAACGCGAAGAACCUUACCUGGGCUUGACAUGCUUAUCAUAUCCCUGUGAAAGGCGAGUGGAGCAAUCCACAAUUCGCACAGGUGCUGCAUGGCUGUCGUCAGCUCGUGUCGUGAGAUGUUUGGUUAAGUCCAGCAACGAGCGCAACCCCUGUGUCCUGUUGCCAGCACGUAAUGGUGGGGACUCUGGACAGACUGCCCAGAUCAACUGGGAGGAAGGUGGGGACGACGUCAAGUCAGUAUGGCCCUUACGCCCAGGGCUGCACACGUACUACAAUGCCCAGUAUAAUGAGAACCGAGACCGCGAGGUGGAGGAAAUCCUUAAAACUGGGCCCAGUUCGGAUUGGGGGCUGCAACUCGCCUCCAUGAAGCCGGAAUCGCUAGUAAUGGCGCAUCAGCUACGGCGCCGUGAAUACGUUCCCGGGUCUUGUACACACCGCCCGUCACAUCAUGGAAGCCGGCCGCACCCGAAGUGCGUGCGCUAACUUUUAGAGGCAGCGCCCUAAGGUGUAGCUGGUAACUGGGAUGAAGUCGUAACAAGGUACGUAGGGGAACCUGCGGCUGGAUCACCUCCUU
RNAcentral lists this ribosomal RNA (1526 nucleotides) under uncultured prokaryote. Its description in RNAcentral is "partial 16S ribosomal RNA". It matches the Rfam family "Bacterial small subunit ribosomal RNA". The record is from RNAcentral.